UAAUCGCGCAUCAGCCAUGGCGCGGUGAAUACGUUCCCGGGCCUUGUACACACCGCCCGUCACACCAUGGGAGUCGGUAACACCCGAAGUCGGUAGCCUAACCGUAAGGAGGGCGCCGCCGAAGGUGGGAUUGAUGACUGGGGUGAAGUCGUAACAAGGUAGC
RNAcentral lists this ribosomal RNA (163 nucleotides) under uncultured bacterium. RNAcentral describes it as "partial 16S ribosomal RNA". It matches the Rfam family "Bacterial small subunit ribosomal RNA", at positions 1339 to 1500 of the family's 1533-position model. The record is from RNAcentral.